Molecule: ribosomal RNA, 1763 nt
Filed under: Staphylococcus aureus DAR3518
Lineage: Bacteria; Bacillati; Bacillota; Bacilli; Caryophanales; Staphylococcaceae
Description: bacterial LSU rRNA
Rfam family: Bacterial large subunit ribosomal RNA
Source: RNAcentral
ACUGCGCCGAAAAUGUACCGGGGCUAAACAUAUUACCGAAGCUGUGGAUUGUCCUUUGGACAAUGGUAGGAGAGCGUUCUAAGGGCGUUGAAGCAUGAUCGUAAGGACAUGUGGAGCGCUUAGAAGUGAGAAUGCCGGUGUGAGUAGCGAAAGACGGGUGAGAAUCCCGUCCACCGAUUGACUAAGGUUUCCAGAGGAAGGCUCGUCCGCUCUGGGUUAGUCGGGUCCUAAGCUGAGGCCGACAGGCGUAGGCGAUGGAUAACAGGUUGAUAUUCCUGUACCACCUAUAAUCGUUUUAAUCGAUGGGGGGACGCAGUAGGAUAGGCGAAGCGUGCGAUUGGAUUGCACGUCUAAGCAGUAAGGCUGAGUAUUAGGCAAAUCCGGUACUCGUUAAGGCUGAGCUGUGAUGGGGAGAAGACAUUGAGUCUUCGAGUCGUUGAUUUCACACUGCCGAGAAAAGCCUCUAGAUAGAAAAUAGGUGCCCGUACCGCAAACCGACACAGGUAGUCAAGAUGAGAAUUCUAAGGUGAGCGAGCGAACUCUCGUUAAGGAACUCGGCAAAAUGACCCCGUAACUUCGGGAGAAGGGGUGCUCUUUAGGGUUAACGCCCAGAAGAGCCGCAGUGAAUAGGCCCAAGCGACUGUUUAUCAAAAACACAGGUCUCUGCUAAACCGUAAGGUGAUGUAUAGGGGCUGACGCCUGCCCGGUGCUGGAAGGUUAAGAGGAGUGGUUAGCUUCUGCGAAGCUACGAAUCGAAGCCCCAGUAAACGGCGGCCGUAACUAUAACGGUCCUAAGGUAGCGAAAUUCCUUGUCGGGUAAGUUCCGACCCGCACGAAAGGCGUAACGAUUUGGGCACUGUCUCAACGAGAGACUCGGUGAAAUCAUAGUACCUGUGAAGAUGCAGGUUACCCGCGACAGGACGGAAAGACCCCGUGGAGCUUUACUGUAGCCUGAUAUUGAAAUUCGGCACAGCUUGUACAGGAUAGGUAGGAGCCUUUGAAACGUGAGCGCUAGCUUACGUGGAGGCGCUGGUGGGAUACUACCCUAGCUGUGUUGGCUUUCUAACCCGCACCACUUAUCGUGGUGGGAGACAGUGUCAGGCGGGCAGUUUGACUGGGGCGGUCGCCUCCUAAAAGGUAACGGAGGCGCUCAAAGGUUCCCUCAGAAUGGUUGGAAAUCAUUCAUAGAGUGUAAAGGCAUAAGGGAGCUUGACUGCGAGACCUACAAGUCGAGCAGGGUCGAAAGACGGACUUAGUGAUCCGGUGGUUCCGCAUGGAAGGGCCAUCGCUCAACGGAUAAAAGCUACCCCGGGGAUAACAGGCUUAUCUCCCCCAAGAGUUCACAUCGACGGGGAGGUUUGGCACCUCGAUGUCGGCUCAUCGCAUCCUGGGGCUGUAGUCGGUCCCAAGGGUUGGGCUGUUCGCCCAUUAAAGCGGUACGCGAGCUGGGUUCAGAACGUCGUGAGACAGUUCGGUCCCUAUCCGUCGUGGGCGUAGGAAAUUUGAGAGGAGCUGUCCUUAGUACGAGAGGACCGGGAUGGACAUACCUCUGGUGUACCAGUUGUCGUGCCAACGGCAUAGCUGGGUAGCUAUGUGUGGACGGGAUAAGUGCUGAAAGCAUCUAAGCAUGAAGCCCCCCUCAAGAUGAGAUUUCCCAACUUCGGUUAUAAGAUCCCUCAAAGAUGAUGAGGUUAAUAGGUUCGAGGUGGAAGCAUGGUGACAUGUGGAGCUGACGAAUACUAAUCGAUCGAAGACUUAAUCAA